Molecule: small nuclear RNA, 103 nt
Organism: Suncus etruscus (white-toothed pygmy shrew)
Lineage: Eukaryota; Metazoa; Chordata; Mammalia; Eulipotyphla; Soricidae
Source: RefSeq, a predicted model, not a curated record
GUGCUAGCUUUAGCAGCAUAUAUACUAAAAUCAGAAGAAUUCAGAGAUUAGUAUGGUCUCUGCUCAAGAAUGACAUGCAAAUUAUGAAGUGUUCCAUAUUUUA